Molecule: ribosomal RNA, 164 nt
Filed under: uncultured bacterium
Lineage: Bacteria
Description: partial 16S ribosomal RNA
Rfam family: Bacterial small subunit ribosomal RNA
Source: RNAcentral
UUACAGGGAGGCGACAGCUUAGGAAUCUUCGGCAAUGGGCGAAAGCCUGACCGAGCGACGCCGCGUGAAGGAUGAAGGCCCUCGGGUCGUAAACUUCUAAAAGAGGGACGAUAAUGACGGUACCUCUUGAAAAGCACCGGCUAACUCCGUGCCAGCAGCCGCGG